Molecule: ribosomal RNA, 748 nt
Filed under: Acidaminococcus sp. enrichment culture clone 16695 ECW 5
Lineage: Bacteria; Bacillati; Bacillota; Negativicutes; Acidaminococcales; Acidaminococcaceae
Description: bacterial SSU rRNA
Rfam family: Bacterial small subunit ribosomal RNA
Source: RNAcentral
AUACCCCGGUAGUCCUGGCCGUAAACGAUGGGUACUAGGUGUAGGAGGUAUCGACCCCUUCUGUGCCGGAGUUAACGCAAUAAGUACCCCGCCUGGGGACUACGAUCGCAAGAUUGAAACUCAAAGGAAUUGACGGGGGCCCGCACAAGCGGUGGAGUAUGUGGUUUAAUUCGACGCAACGCGAAGAACCUUACCAAGGCUUGACAUUGAGUGAAAGGCUUAGAGAUAAGCCCCUCUCUUCGGAGACACGAAAACAGGUGGUGCAUGGCUGUCGUCAGCUCGUGUCGUGAGAUGUUGGGUUAAGUCCCGCAACGAGCGCAACCCUUAUCCUAUGUUACCAGCACGCAAUGGUGGGGACUCAUAGGAGACUGCCAGGGAUAACCUGGAGGAAGGCGGGGAUGACGUCAAGUCAUCAUGCCCCUUAUGUCUUGGGCUACACACGUACUACAAUGGUCGGCAACAAAGGGCAGCGAAGCCGCGAGGCGGAGCCAAUCCCAGAAACCCGACCCCAGUUCGGAUCGCAGGCUGCAACCCGCCUGCGUGAAGUUGGAAUCGCUAGUAAUCGCAGGUCAGCAUACUGCGGUGAAUACGUUCCCGGGCCUUGUACACACCGCCCGUCACACCACGAAAGUUGGUAACACCCGAAGCCGGUGAGAUAACCUUUUAGGAGUCAGCUGUCUAAGGUGGGGCCGAUGAUUGGGGUGAAGGCGUAACAAGGUAGAGCUCUCAGUCAGUCAAAUCGAAUUCC